CCUACGGGCGGCAUCAGUAGGGAAUCUUCCACAAUGGGCGAAAGCCUGAUGGAGCAACGCCGCGUGGGUGAAGAAGGUCUUCGGAUCGUAAAACCCUGUUGUUAGAGAAGAAAGUGCGUGAGAGUAACUGUUCACGUUUCGACGGUAUCUAACCAGAAAGGCACGGCUAACUACGUGCCAGCAGCUGCGGGAAUACGUACGUGGCAAGCGUUAUCCGGAUUUAUUGGGCGUAAAGGGAACGCAGGCGGUCUUUUAAGUCUGAUUGGAAAGCCUUCGGCUUAACCGGAGUAGUGCAUUGGAAACUGGGAGACUUGAUUGCAGAUGAGGAGAGUGGAACUCCAUGUGUAGCGGUGAAAUGCGUAGAUAUAUGGAAGAACACCAGUGGCGAAGGCGGCUCUCUGGUCUGUAACUGACGCUGAGGUUCGAAAGCGUGGGUAGCAAACAGGAUUAGAUACCCGGGUAGUC
This 465-nucleotide ribosomal RNA is filed under the name uncultured bacterium. RNAcentral describes it as "partial 16S ribosomal RNA". It matches the Rfam family "Bacterial small subunit ribosomal RNA", at positions 338 to 795 of the family's 1533-position model. The record is from RNAcentral.